GAUGAACGCUGGCGGCGUGCCUAAUACAUGCAAGUCGAGCGAACAGACGAGGAGCUUGCUCCUCUGACGUUAGCGGCGGACGGGUGAGUAACACGUGGAUAACCUACCUAUAAGACUGGGAUAAAUUCGGGAAACCGGAGCUAAUACCGGAUAAUAUAUUGAACCGCAUGGUUCAAUAGUGAAAGACGGUUUUGCUGUCACUUAUAGAUGGAUCCGCGCCGCAUUAGCUAGUUGGUAAGGUAACGGCUUACCAAGGCAACGAUGCGUAGCCGACCUGAGAGGGUGAUCGGCCACACUGGAACUGAGACACGGUCCACACUCCUACGGGAGGCAGCAGUAGGGAAUCUUCCGCAAUGGGCGAAAGCCUGACGGAGCAACGCCGCGUGAGUGAUGAAGGUCUUCGGAUCGUAAAACUCUGUUAUUAGGGAAGAACAAAUGUGUAAGUAACUAUGCACGUCUUGACGGUACCUAAUCAGAAAGCCACGGCUAACUACGUG
This 497-nucleotide ribosomal RNA is filed under the name uncultured bacterium. RNAcentral describes it as "partial 16S ribosomal RNA". It matches the Rfam family "Bacterial small subunit ribosomal RNA", at positions 28 to 507 of the family's 1533-position model. The record is from RNAcentral.